This 513-nucleotide ribosomal RNA is filed under the name Staphylococcus aureus. Its description in RNAcentral is "bacterial SSU rRNA". It matches the Rfam family "Bacterial small subunit ribosomal RNA", at positions 92 to 592 of the family's 1533-position model. Lineage: Bacteria; Bacillati; Bacillota; Bacilli; Caryophanales; Staphylococcaceae. The record is from RNAcentral.
UUAGCGGCGGACGGGUGAGUAACACGUGGAUAACCUACCUAUAAGACUGGGAUAACUUCGGGAAACCGGAGCUAAUACCGGAUAAUAUUUUGAACCGCAUGGUUCAAAAGUGAAAGACGGUCUUGCUGUCACUUAUAGAUGGAUCCGCGCUGCAUUAGCUAGUUGGUAAGGUAACGGCUUACCAAGGCAACGAUGCAUAGCCGACCUGAGAGGGUGAUCGGCCACACUGGAACUGAGACACGGUCCAGACUCCUACGGGAGGCAGCAGUAGGGAAUCUUCCGCAAUGGGCGAAAGCCUGACGGAGCAACGCCGCGUGAGUGAUGAAGGUCUUCGGAUCGUAAAACUCUGUUAUUAGGGAAGAACAUAUGUGUAAGUAACUGUGCACAUCUUGACGGUACCUAAUCAGAAAGCCACGGCUAACUACGUGCCAGCAGCCGCGGUAAUACGUAGGUGGCAAGCGUUAUCCGGAAUUAUUGGGCGUAAAGCGCGCGUAGGCGGUUUUUUAAGUCUGA